Molecule: ribosomal RNA, 467 nt
Filed under: uncultured bacterium
Lineage: Bacteria
Description: partial 16S ribosomal RNA
Rfam family: Bacterial small subunit ribosomal RNA
Source: RNAcentral
GACGAACGCUGGCGGCGUGCUUAACACAUGCAAGUCGAACGGAAAGGCCCUGCUUUUGUGGGGUGCUCGAGUGGCGAACGGGUGAGUAACACGUGAGUAACCUGCCCUUGACUUUGGGAUAACUUCAGGAAACUGGGGCUAAUACCGGAUAGGAGCUCCUGCUGCAUGGUGGGGGUUGGAAAGUUUCGCGGUUGGGGAUGGACUCGCGGCUUAUCAGCUUGUUGGUGGGGUAGUGGCUUACCAAGGCUUUGGCGGGUAGCCGGCCUGAGAGGGUGACCGGCCACAUUGGGACUGAGAUACGGCCCAGACUCCUACGGGAGGCAGCAGUGGGGAAUAUUGCACAAUGGGCGGAAGCCUGAUGCAGCAACGCCGCGUGCGGGAUGACGGCCUUCGGGUUGUAAACCGCUUUCGCCUGUGACGAAGCGUGAGUGACGGUAAUGGGUAAAGAAGCACCGGCUAACUACGUG